UUUUACUAAUAAUAUCUCUGUUUACUAAUUUACUAAUUAUAUCAUUCUCUUCUCGUCAACAAGCGUCAUUUCAGGAUUAGGUUUUUCAUUAUAGCAUUGAAUAUAUUAUAAGAAUGCCGUCAGACUAAAAAAAAAAAAACGUGACUAAUCGCUAUCUCUAUUUAUAGGUACCCGUAACCGUGAAUAGGAAUAGUAACUCAUGAGAAAAAUACUAGGAUAUAAAUCCUAGUAAUGACAUAUUAUCGGCGCGGUAAAAAAA
Long non-coding RNA from Aedes aegypti (yellow fever mosquito), 259 nucleotides. RefSeq lists it as uncharacterized. NCBI's taxonomy places the organism in Eukaryota, Metazoa, Arthropoda, Insecta, Diptera, Culicidae. The transcript is spliced from 2 exons. The record is from RefSeq and is a predicted model, not a curated record.